RNAcentral lists this long non-coding RNA (1610 nucleotides) under Equus caballus (horse). RNAcentral's name for it is "lncRNA (ENSECAG00000052986.1)". The record is from RNAcentral. Lineage: Eukaryota; Metazoa; Chordata; Mammalia; Perissodactyla; Equidae.
CUUUUUAAAAACACUUCCUGGAAAAAUUACACAGCUGCAAGGAAUGCUGGGAAAUGUAGUCUUUAUUUCAAGAAACAAAGCAGGAGACAAGUAGCAGUCCUUGCCACAGUCCACUCAUCCACACAUGCUCUUUCUUUCCACAUAUAGACCCCCUCCCUUUGAGACAUAACUCCAAAGUGUCAUCUGGUUACUGCAUUAAACUCAAAGCCCAGAAUCUCUGGGUGCCAAUUCAUUCAUCCCCAUCAUGGCAAGAUGUAGCCACUCACAGUCCAGAAACCCACAAACUAAAAGUUAUUUGCCCUAUCCCUUCACUCUUACUCAAUAUAUAAUGGUAAAACAGGACUAGGAUAACUUUAACUAAAAUUCCAGUUGACUAAGGAGAAAACAGGAAACUUUCACACAACCCCGUCGGCACUGGUCCAUAGAAAUUAUUGAACUCUGCUGGGCAGGAAUCGCAAAGGCUGCCUGGCCUGGGAAUGGAGUUCCUUGAUUAGCCUACCAGGCAGCCCUUGGGUCUGCCCUCUAUGAUGAACUCUUUCACUUACUGUCCUUCAUAUGUUGACAUACUGUCUUUCACAUGUUGAAGCCCCAACCCCCAAUGUGACUACAUUUGGAGAUAGGGCCUUUAAGGAAGUAAUUAAGGUUAAAUGAGGUCAAAAUGGUGGUGCCCUAAUCCAAUAUGAUGGUAGUCCUUGAAAGAAAAGAGAAAGAGUCAUGAGAGGAAAGGCCACAUGAGGACACAGUGAGAAGGUGGCUGUCUACACAGCAAGGAGAGAGACCUCAGGAGAAGCCAAAUGUGCUGACAUCUUCACCCUGGACUUCUAGCUUCCUGAACUGUGAGAAAAUACAUUUCUGUUGUUUAAGCCCCCCAGUCAGUGGUAUUUUUUGAUGGCAGCCCCAGAAGACUAAUCCAGUCCUCCUGGCCUCUAGCUUUGCUAUUUCAGAAGUUCUUCCUUGCAGGCAAUAUAAUUCUUUCAAAUAGGAAGGCAUUUUUAUUUACUUUCUGUCAAUUCUCUGUCCUUGUAAUCACAGCCAAAGAGCCUGUCGAGACAUUGAGUUUUUUGUUUUUAAGCCUGAAGACUUGUCUUUUACUUAUCGGUUGUGGUAUUCUGCCCAUCCGUUUCUCUCUCAUCUUAAUGGCAGCUACCUCGAAGUUGUUUACAACAGGCUUGAGUGCGAAGAAACAACCCUUAAUCUACUCUCUGCCAGCUGGUCGAUGCUUUUGUAUAAUGAGGCACUAGUUUUAUCUCCUGCCAAAGCUGUAGGUUUUCAGCCACUGCUUACACCUGGUUGAGCUGGGGUGCAGAAGCUGUUGCUCUUCUCAUCCCUGCAAGGGCCCAAAUUAUCAACUUGGACUGCAGGCCUCUUGUAGCAAAACUGUAGGCCCUUCUGUCUGUUUCUAUACUGCCUGUCUUAAGCCUGGAAGGCUUUGCUGAAAGUGUCAAGAAAGAGCCAAUACACACAGAAAUCAUUCAUCUUUCCUGUCAUUGGCCCUAAAGUUACAGCCUCGGUCAGCACAUGGUCUCUUUUCCAAGCCAAAGCAGGGAAAUGUUUGCCAUCAAAUCAUCAGGCUGCAAUUUGGAGUCUAUACCACCUGCUGCCCAGCUUCU